UUCCGGUUGAUCCCGCCGGACCUGACUGCUAUCGGAUUGAUACUAAGCCAUGCGAGUCAUUGUAGCAAUACAAGGCAUACGGCUCAGUAACGCGUAGUCAACCUAACCUAUGGACGGGAAUAACCUCGGGAAACUGAGAAUAAUGCCCGAUAGAACAUUAUGCCUGGAAUGGUUUAUGUUCCAAAUGAUUUAUCGCCGUAGGAUGGGACUGCGGCCUAUCAGUUUGUUGGUGAGGUAAUGGCCCACCAAGACUAUUACAGGUACGGGCUCUGAGAGGAGUAGCCCGGAGAUGGGUACUGAGACACGGACCCAGGCCCUAUGGGGCGCAGCAGGCGAGAAAACUUUGCAAUGUGCGAAAGCACGACAAGGUUAAUCCGAGUGGUUUCUGCUAAAGGAACCUUUUGUCAGUCCUAGAAACACUGAUGAAUAAGGGGUGGGCAAGUUCUGGUGUCAGCCGCCGCGGUAAAACCAGCACCUCAAGUGGUCAGGAUGAUUAUUGGGCCUAAAGCAUCCGUAGCCGGCUCUGUAAGUUUUCGGUUAAAUCUGUACGCUCAACGUACAGGCUGCCGGGAAUACUGCAAAGCUAGGGAGUGGGAGAGGUAGACGGUACUCGGUAGGAAGGGGUAAA
This 628-nucleotide ribosomal RNA is filed under the name uncultured archaeon. Its description in RNAcentral is "bacterial SSU rRNA". It matches the Rfam family "Archaeal small subunit ribosomal RNA", at positions 1 to 636 of the family's 1478-position model. The record is from RNAcentral.